This 297-nucleotide ribosomal RNA is filed under the name Triticum aestivum (bread wheat). RNAcentral describes it as "partial small subunit ribosomal RNA". Lineage: Eukaryota; Viridiplantae; Streptophyta; Magnoliopsida; Poales; Poaceae. The record is from RNAcentral.
AUGGCAUUCAUCGCCGUAUUGGCGGCGUGGAAGGCGCCUUCAAGCCUGCACUUGCGGCUCGGGUCGACGAGGCAGCUGCAACAGGACAACAGCCGCAACGGACCAAAGAAAUUAGAUCCAUCCAGCUUACUGCAAUGGAAUCGACCAGGGUCACAUGCAAGAUUACGGGAAGCAUAUAACCUGAGCUCUACGAGGUUGAACAAGUCUGGACCGAUACAAGGUAUUGCUAGGUGGACCUUGCCAGAGCAAUCAAGUAAAUUAGCAGAUUUCAGCAGGAAAAGGGUUACUCACAGGCCU